UGUUAUCUCGGGGAGAUCCCGAU
RNAcentral lists this microRNA (23 nucleotides) under Gallid alphaherpesvirus 2. RNAcentral's name for it is "mdv1-miR-M7-5p". Its record names the gene mdv1-miR-M7-5p. Lineage: Duplodnaviria; Heunggongvirae; Peploviricota; Herviviricetes; Herpesvirales; Orthoherpesviridae. The record is from miRBase by way of RNAcentral.